AUGUAUAGCAGCAGGGGCUAUGGGUGUAACAAUGGUAUUGAUGUCCUUAUCAGACUCAUGCCGCAGGGCAUCCAGAUGGAGGAGAUGCCGACGAAUAAGAAGAAGAAGAGACCGGCGGUUGUCGUCUCUUCUUGCGAGAGCGACGAGGCGGCGAUGGCUCGGUUUGGUCGGGAGCGUCCCAAGUACGUUCAGGCCGAGCAGGAGUUCUACUGGAAACGUGAUGUCGAGAAGAAGAAGAAGAAGGAGGUGAAGAAGGAGGACGAGGCCGCCCCCUCGACGACGAUCCCAGCGAGUCAUCGUCGGAGGAGGACGAGAAGUUCUGGGGGCUCUCGGAUGACUCCAAAGAGUUGUAGAUGCCCUCGGACAACGAGUAGUUUUGCUAGUUUAAAUUUAUGCAUUUACAUUUGA
Molecule: ribosomal RNA, 408 nt
Filed under: Triticum aestivum (bread wheat)
Lineage: Eukaryota; Viridiplantae; Streptophyta; Magnoliopsida; Poales; Poaceae
Description: partial small subunit ribosomal RNA
Source: RNAcentral